AGGAUAAACGCUGGCGGCGUGCCUAACACAUGCAAGUCGAACGUCUCUUCUUUCGGGAAGAGGAGUGGCGGACGGGUGAGGAACACGUGGGAACCUGCCCUUUAGUGGGGAAUACCGGCGAGAAAUCGCCGACAAGACCGCAUAGCCCUCUUUGAUGAGAGUCAAAGAAGGAAAGCUUCGCAAGAGGCGCUAGAGGAGGGGCCUGCGUCCGAUUAGCUAGUUGGUGGGGUAAGAGCCUACCAAGGCGUCGAUCGGUAGCUGGUCUGAGAGGACGAUCAGCCACACUGGGAUUGAGAACGGCCCAGACUCCUACGGGGGCAGCAGUGAGGAAUUUUCGUCAAUGGGGGCAACCCUGAACGAGCAACGCCGCGUGCAGGAAGAAGGUUUUCGGAUCGUAAACUGCUUUUCUCGGGGAAGAGAACGGACGGUACCCGAGGAAUCAGCCCCGGCUAACUACGUGCCAGCAGCCGC
This 471-nucleotide ribosomal RNA is filed under the name uncultured bacterium. RNAcentral describes it as "SSU rRNA". It matches the Rfam family "Bacterial small subunit ribosomal RNA", at positions 26 to 518 of the family's 1533-position model. The record is from RNAcentral.